AAUUGAAUAUAAGCGCCAGAACUUGCUUAUUUUUAAAUAAUUUUAUAUUGCAAAGUAAGUUGACGAGGUAGGAGUUUAUCGAAAAUUCGGCGGAUGCUCCUGGGUUGGCCAGAUCCUUAAAAAACCUACAAAACUUUCCAGUAAUGGCAAGGACAAAAAGGUUUUUAUGGUUAGGA
Molecule: non-coding RNA, 176 nt
Filed under: Atribacterota
Lineage: Bacteria; Pseudomonadati
Description: Candidatus Atribacteria GlcN6P sequence
Rfam family: glmS glucosamine-6-phosphate activated ribozyme aptamer
About the family: This entry contains a glucosamine-6-phosphate activated ribozyme that is found in the mRNA for GlmS. GlmS is an enzyme that uses fructose-6-phosphate and glutamine to generate glucosamine-6-phosphate.
Source: RNAcentral